RNAcentral lists this ribosomal RNA (254 nucleotides) under uncultured bacterium. Its description in RNAcentral is "partial 16S ribosomal RNA". It matches the Rfam family "Bacterial small subunit ribosomal RNA", at positions 524 to 776 of the family's 1533-position model. The record is from RNAcentral.
UACGUAGGGGGCGAGCGUCGUCCGGAUUCAUUGGGCGUAAAGAGCUCGUAGGCGGCUUGCUAAGUCGAGUGUGAAACCUCCAGGCUCAACCUGGAGUCGCCACUCGAUACUGGUAUGGCUAGAGUCCGGUAGGGGACCACGGAAUUCCUGGUGUAGCGGUGAAAUGCGCAGAUAUCAGGAGGAACACCGGUGGCGAAGGCGGUGGUCUGGGCCGGCACUGACGCUGAGGAGCGAAAGCGUGGGGAGCAAACGGG